AAUCAACGCUGGCGGCGUGCCUCAGACAUGCAAGUCGAACGAUUAAACUUUCCUUCGGGAAAGAUAUAAAGUGGCGUACGGGUGAGUAACACGUAAGUAAUCUACCUUUGAGUGGGGAAUAACAGUCGGAAACGACUGCUAAUACCGCAUAAUGCAGCGGCACCGCAAGGUGACAGUUGUUAAAGCAUUUAUGCGCUUAAAGAGGAGCUUGCGGCAGAUUAGCUAGUUGGAAGGUAAUGGCUUACCAAGGCAACGAUCUGUAUCCGGUCUAAGAGGACGGUCGGACACACUGACACUGAAUAACGGGUUAGACUCCUACGGGAGGGCAGCAGUCGGGGGA
This 340-nucleotide ribosomal RNA is filed under the name uncultured bacterium. RNAcentral's name for it is "bacterial SSU rRNA". It matches the Rfam family "Bacterial small subunit ribosomal RNA", at positions 32 to 362 of the family's 1533-position model. The record is from RNAcentral.